RNAcentral lists this ribosomal RNA (254 nucleotides) under uncultured bacterium. RNAcentral's name for it is "partial 16S ribosomal RNA". It matches the Rfam family "Bacterial small subunit ribosomal RNA", at positions 524 to 776 of the family's 1533-position model. The record is from RNAcentral.
UACGGGGGGAGCAAGCGUUGUUCGGAUUUACUGGGCGUAAAGGGCGCGUAGGCGGCCACCGCAAGUCGACUGUGAAAUCUCUGGGCUUAACCCAGAACGGUCAGCCGAUACUGCGGGGCUAGAGUGCAGAAGGGGCAACUGGAAUUCUCGGUGUAGCGGUGAAAUGCGUAGAUAUCGAGAGGAACACCUGCGGCGAAGGCGGCCUUCUGGACGAUGACUGACGCUGAGACGCGAAAGCGUGGGGAGCAAACAGG